GGGGCUGAUUCUGGAUUCGACGGGAUUUGCGAAACCCAAGGUGCAUGCCGAGGGGCGGUUGGCCUCGUAAAAAGCCGCAAAAAAUAGUCGCAAACGACGAAAACUACGCUUUAGCAGCUUAAUAACCUGCUUAGAGCCCUCUCUCCCUAGCCUCCGCUCUUAGGACGGGGAUCAAGAGAGGUCAAACCCAAAAGAGAUCGCGUGGAGGCCCUGCCUGGGGUUGAAGCGUUAAAACUUAAUCAGGCUAGUUUGUUAGUGGCGUGUCCGUCCGCAGCUGGCAAGCGAAUGUAAAGACUGACUAAGCAUGUAGUACCGAGGAUGUAGGAAUUUCGGACGCGGGUUCAACUCCCGCCAGCUCCACCA
This 363-nucleotide transfer-messenger RNA is filed under the name Escherichia coli. Its description in RNAcentral is "Standard tmRNA". It matches the Rfam family "transfer-messenger RNA". From Rfam's summary of the family: Bacterial tmRNA, also known as 10Sa RNA or SsrA, is named for its dual tRNA and mRNA-like properties. Its role is to liberate the mRNA from a stalled ribosome. The record is from RNAcentral. Lineage: Bacteria; Pseudomonadati; Pseudomonadota; Gammaproteobacteria; Enterobacterales; Enterobacteriaceae.